Non-coding RNA from Myotis brandtii (Brandt's bat), 75 nucleotides. NCBI's taxonomy places the organism in Eukaryota, Metazoa, Chordata, Mammalia, Chiroptera, Vespertilionidae. The record is from Rfam.
GGCAGUUCUUGGGUGACACACCCCAGAAUCAGGCUCCCUCCUCUCUGGUUCUGGGUGCAUCACCCAAGAACCGCA